RNAcentral lists this transfer RNA (73 nucleotides) under Rattus norvegicus (Norway rat). It matches the Rfam family "tRNA". Rfam says of the family: Transfer RNA (tRNA) molecules are approximately 80 nucleotides in length. Lineage: Eukaryota; Metazoa; Chordata; Mammalia; Rodentia; Muridae. The record is from Rfam by way of RNAcentral.
GGAGAGAUGGCUUAGUGCUUAAGAGCACUGGCGGCUGUACCAGAGGACCUGAGUUCAAUUCCCAGUACCUACA